UACGGAGGGUGCGAGCGUUGUUCGGAAUUACUGGGCGUAAAGCGCGUGUAGGCGGCUUCUUAAGUGUGGUGUGAAAGCCCGGGGCUCACCCCCGGAAGUGCACUGGAAACUGGGAAGCUAGAGUACCGGAGAGGAGGGUGGAAUUCCUGGUGUAGCGGUGAAAUGCGUAGAUAUCAGGAGGAACACCGGUGGCGAAGGCGGGUCUCUGGGCCGAUACUGACGCUGAGGAGCGAAAGCGUGGGGAGCGAACAGG
RNAcentral lists this ribosomal RNA (253 nucleotides) under uncultured bacterium. RNAcentral describes it as "partial 16S ribosomal RNA". It matches the Rfam family "Bacterial small subunit ribosomal RNA", at positions 524 to 776 of the family's 1533-position model. The record is from RNAcentral.